GACGAACGCUGGCGGCGUGCUUAACACAUGCAAGUCGAACGGAAAGGCCUGCUUUCCCUUGUGGAUUGCGGGUACUCGAGUGGCGAACGGGUGAGUAACACGUGAGUGAUCUGCCCCCAACUUGGGUAUAAGCCUGGGAAACUGGGUCUAAUUCCCGAUAGGACUGCAGGGUGGUGCCUGUGGUGGAAAACGAUUUUCUAGUGGUUGGGGAUGAGCUCGCGGCCUAUCAGCUUGUUGGUGGGGUAAUGGCCUACCAAGGCGGCGACGGGUAGCCGGCCUGGGAGGGUGGACGGCCACAUUGGGACUGAGAUACGGCCCAGACUCCUACGGGAGGCAGCAGCGGGGAAUAGUGCACAAUGGGCGGAAGCCUGAUGCAGCGACGCCGCGUGGGGGAUGACGGCCUUCGGGUUGUAAACUCCUUUCGACCGCGAGGAAGCCACCUGGUUGGAAGGGUGGUGACGGUAGUGGUAGAAGAAGCACCGGCUAACUACGUG
RNAcentral lists this ribosomal RNA (494 nucleotides) under uncultured bacterium. Its description in RNAcentral is "partial 16S ribosomal RNA". It matches the Rfam family "Bacterial small subunit ribosomal RNA", at positions 28 to 507 of the family's 1533-position model. The record is from RNAcentral.